This is a non-coding RNA of Peromyscus maniculatus bairdii (prairie deer mouse), 1140 nucleotides long. The record is from RefSeq and is a predicted model, not a curated record. NCBI's taxonomy places the organism in Eukaryota, Metazoa, Chordata, Mammalia, Rodentia, Cricetidae.
AGGUUGUGAGAAGGUAAAUGAGCGAGUCCGGAGCUCACCUCCCUGGGUUUGGAUCCCACUGUUACCACUUCCUUUGAGACCAAAGGACAACAACUUCACUUUUGGUGCCACAGCUUCCUCAAGUGUGUAGUAGAAACCUAGCCAGCAUGAGAUGUGCAUCAACCAGGCCUGCACCCUUGUCUACAGGUCGCACCAAUUUACCCUGGAGAGGUUCUUCGGAGUCUUAAUUGAGAAGCACAAAAGAUUGGAAGAUCUUUAAGUGAGUAGCCCUGAAUAAUUUCCCUUAGCAGAUCGCUCUUCGGAAUUUCAUUUUCAACAUGAAUGGUCACACUUCAAGCAAUGAAUGAGACGCAUUGUUCAGGGGGAAGUGACGCACUCAUCUCUGCAGAGCUGCUCAAGGGUCCCAGAGACACUUAAGAGUGCGUCAGCGUUUUCAUUAGAAACCCAUCAGCAGGGAAAGUGCCCGGAGGCUGCCUCUGAAAUUGAUUUGCUGAGUCAUUGCUAAGAAGAGGAAGAAGCAUAAUGGGACCCACAAAAAAACGUCACAAGUGUAAACACCAACCUCUUCCAGAAUGCCUCCUCUGGCAAGAUUGACUCUUAUGCUGACCUAAUUUUGACCCCGAGUAUGUUCCUUAUUGGAGUUUUGUUUUCCUGCUUAUGAAACUUUCUUAUUAUCAGUUUACAUCAAUACGCUUUUACUUCUCUUACUGGGUCAUACUUGUUCUCAGCAACUGGAUAAAACACUAGGGUAGAGAGAAGGUCUUAUUGAUCAUGUAGCUCCUCAUAUAUUAAUCUGACUGCUACAAACCACAGGCUUUGAAAUAGAGUAAUUGAAUGUGAGAGGUAACCAAUAAUCUAAGAUUUAAUCAUAAUUUUAAGGAUAAUGAAAAUUUUGUGGCACUGAUUUGCUCACAGAUUAAAGGGUUGGAUGGGACAGACAACAGUUCGACAGUCUGCUUUUUGAUUCUUUUCUUUUUCUAGAAUGUAUAUAUGAUGGAGGAUAAUAGGUAUGGAACAUACACACAUCCAUGAAUUAAUGCUGCUUGGCCAUGGGAUGUUAUUUGCUGUCGAUGUCUGAAACCAGUUCAUACUUCAUGAUUAGUCAAAGACUAGCUUAUAAAUUCUGCCUUAGAGGAAGAU